Molecule: ribosomal RNA, 400 nt
Filed under: uncultured bacterium
Lineage: Bacteria
Description: bacterial SSU rRNA
Rfam family: Bacterial small subunit ribosomal RNA
Source: RNAcentral
GACCCCGCACAAGCGGUGGAUCAUGUUGUUUAAUUCGAAGAUACGCGAAAAACCUUACCAGGUCUUGACAUCCCUUGCAAUGCUGUAGAGAUACAGUGGAGGUUAUCAAGGAGACAGGUGGUGCAUGGUUGUCGUCAGCUCGUGUCGUGAGAUGUUGGGUUAAGUCCCGCAACGAGCGCAACCCUUAUUGCUAGUUGCCAUCAUUUAGUUGGGGACUCUAGCGAGACUGCCAGUGAUAAACUGGAGGAAGGUGGGGAUGACGUCAAAUCAUCAUGCCCCUUAUGACCUGGGCUACAAACGUGAUACAAUGGCUAUUACAGAGGGCCGCAAAGCUGUGAAGUGAAGCUAAACCCUUAAAAAUAGUCUCAGUUCGGAUUGAAGUCUGCAACUCGACUUCAUG